Molecule: non-coding RNA, 207 nt
Organism: Pelobates cultripes (western spadefoot toad)
Lineage: Eukaryota; Metazoa; Chordata; Amphibia; Anura; Pelobatidae
Source: the annotation of a GenBank genome assembly
CUCACCCUCAGGGGUCUAAUAAUUACACUCGAGAUGUGUCCAGAAUGGCGUGCCAUCGCUGUAACAACCUCGGACACCUUGCCUGUCACUGCCCUUUGGGAUCGGCAGCUAACAAUUGGAGGCGCACCUCACCACCUGCAGAGACCGCUUCACCUUGCACCUCUGCCGCCUCACCUCAUACCUCUGCCGCUUAUUGUCUGGAGACCG